Molecule: long non-coding RNA, 1741 nt
Organism: Artibeus jamaicensis (Jamaican fruit-eating bat)
Lineage: Eukaryota; Metazoa; Chordata; Mammalia; Chiroptera; Phyllostomidae
Exons: 4
Source: RefSeq, a predicted model, not a curated record
CCCCGGGGCGGCCGGGUCCCCGAACUCCAGAGGUCCCGGCCUCGCCGCCAACGCCCGGACCUGGCGUGUCUCCGGCGCCGUGAAAGGGGGGCAGCGAGGAAGGUCGCGGGGCAGGGAGCCGUGCUGGCAAACCUGGGGCGCACGGGGAGAAAGAGGUGCGCAGGUCUGAGAGCAGCGAGAACGAGAAGAUCGGUGACUGAACCAAGAGAGAGAGGCGAGCAAGGCCUGAGGGCCUAGAAUGUCCUGCAGUGUAGAGUUUGCUCCAUUCCAGAAGACAGCCAAAAAGGAGCUAAAGAAAAAAGAUGCCGAAACUAAAAGGGGUGACAAUGAUCCAGAAUUUAAGAAGUUGUUAGAAAUUUACUGCAUGGAGGAAGAGAAAACUGGUACCAAUCCCAAAACUCUUCUGGGAGAUGUAGUGGCAAAGACAGAACUUACUAGUCUGUUGUGCCCAUUUCUUCCUUUUACUUCAUUAAGUGUGUUUCUAUAGGGGAUCUCCAUAGGGUUCCCUCACCAUCCUUGGGAGGGUUGUUUCUGCUUUCAGAGAGAGAGAAGUGGCCCGUGACUCCCAGAUAACCUACCAGAAGAAGCAGACACGCACACACAGUCUGGCACAGGCGCUGUCCACCAAGGAGGUUUUUGAGAGAAAGCUCUCUAAGCAAGUCCAGACACGGGGGAGGGGAGAGGAGGGAGGCAUUCACAAACAAAACCGAACCAAACCCUCGGUAGUUGAUACAAAUACUACUUCGGUGCAGUAUUUCUUAAAAAAUCUAAAUGUAAAUUUUAAAAAAAUAUGAUGAACAAAGUACAUAUUUUGUGAGCAUGUUAAAUGAAGACAGGAUCUGGCCAUCUCCCGUGGCCAGCCCGUGAGUGUUGACUCUCGAGGCUCCAGCCUGGGAAGGGCCUGUCUGAGGUGGGUCUGUCACCUGCACUGGCAUCUUUUCCGGGCAUAACCCACAAGUAAAGCUGCUCGGCCCCACCCGGCACCCACUGAGACACAGUCUGCGAUUACCAGACAGAUAGAUACCCAAGGGGUACUGUAUAAGCUGUGUGGGGCUAUCUCACCUUCCCCUGUCCCUACAAGACUAGCUGAUGAGCCGGUAGAAGAAUUCUACACCCACAUGUAGAAGGAUUUUACUAAUAGAAUAAGACAAUGUUCGUUGGCUGAUGAACAACACAUAGGGUUGGCAGGCACCGGAAAAGCACAAAAGCAGGCUGAGGCAUUGGGGAGGACUUGUUCCAGUGUGAACCCAGUAAAGGUUUACACUUUAGACAACAGUUGUUUCCUCAACAAGUGAGCCUCAAAACUUUUGCUCCUAUAUUUCCUAAUUUUCAUAUUUUAAUUUCACAUUAUUUUAUACUAAUGUAUAGGAGACUGUUCUGUGUGGCAUGGGCCCAGCUCCCACUGGGAGAUGCACAGGACCCACACCCACGGAUAGGUUCUCCCAAUGGGAGAUCAGGCCUGCUAUGUACCUAGGCCGCUUGGAGUCUUGCUUUUUGCUAAAACCCCCCUCACCCAGAUUUGUGGCAAACAUUUACUGCAAAGUAGCUCCCUAAAAUCCAUACUAAACCUUCCAAGAACUAGUGUAACUGGUUCAACCACUUUUGCCUUUUCAUUUGCAAAUAUCCCUCUUCUGUGAUGCAUUAGCAACAUUAGCUCCUUUGUGGUCUGUAAAAGGUAAUCACCUAAAGCAACCUGUGCAUAGUAAAUGAGGACCAUCAUGUAAUGUGCUGAAAAAGUCAG